RNAcentral lists this ribosomal RNA (458 nucleotides) under uncultured bacterium. RNAcentral describes it as "partial 16S ribosomal RNA". It matches the Rfam family "Bacterial small subunit ribosomal RNA", at positions 338 to 795 of the family's 1533-position model. The record is from RNAcentral.
CCUACGGGUGGCAGCAGUGAGGAAUAUUGGUCAAUGGGCGGGAGCCUGAACCAGCCAAGCCGCGUGAGGGAAGAAGGUACAGCGUAUCGUAAACCUCUUUUGUCAGGGAACAAAGGCGGGGACUAGUCCCCGGAUGAGGGUACCUGAAGAAAAAGCAUCGGCUAACCCCGUGCCAGCAGCCGCGGUAAUACGGGGGAUGCGAGCGUUACCCGGUUUUAUUGGGUUUAAAGGGUGCGCAGGCGGCCUGUUAAGUCAGCGGUAAAAGCCCGGGGCACAACCCCGGCGAGCCGUUGAAACUGGCGGCUGGAGUGGGAGAGAGGUAAGCGGAAUGCGCGGUGUAGCGGUGAAAUGCUUAGAUAUCGGGCAGAACCCCGGUUGCGAAGGCAGCGUACCGGGUCGAAACUGACGCUGAGGCACGAAAGCGUGGGUAUCGAACAGGAUUAGAUACCCGGGUAGUC